CAGCAAGGCUGAGAACCACGACUGAGAUGGCUUCAAAUCAGAAACCAGCUUCCCGGCUUGUGGAAUCCCCUACAUGUACACUUGCAGGUGUUUUAACAUAGGCAUGGGUGGUCUGACUGCUGUGUUGGGAGCAAGCAGAGGAAGUAACCAAAAGUGCAUCUGGUUUAGGAUAAUUCUCGAACUUCCUUUUCUCCAGCAUCUGUCUUGCUCUGGGGUGAUUCACACAGAAGGCAAUCUCACAAAUAGCC
Molecule: long non-coding RNA, 248 nt
Filed under: Urocitellus parryii (Arctic ground squirrel)
Lineage: Eukaryota; Metazoa; Chordata; Mammalia; Rodentia; Sciuridae
Description: lncRNA (ENSUPAG00010004427.1)
Source: RNAcentral